AUAGUUAACACACAUCACAUGUUUUAUUACGGUCUCUUAAUACGGUGUCUAAUAUAUAUUUAAGCAUCGUAACCGUACUUUAUAAAAUUGUGUGAUCCUUGCUUAGCGUUGUCUCGAUUUAACAAAUAUUAUAGUGUCAGUGUUUAUCGCCCCCAAACUGGGGUUCAACGUUUGGGUCACCAAGUUCGACGAUUGGGUCACCGAUUUCGACGUUUGGCUCACCAAUUACGACGUUCAAACCAAUUUCGACGUUUCCACCUAACCCCGACGACGAGAGUGCACUCCGCCGGAUCUUGAACUACCCGUUCCUGCCGCCCCCGGUCGAAAGCGGAAUCCUGCCACGCGACUCCCGGGAAUAUCACCUGCACGGCGAACCAGGAGAGUACCUGAGCCGAACUGCAUUUGGAGCUUGUGUGAAUUGGGUGCUCGACCCCGCCCAUAUACGUACAUUUUUUUAUUUUCUACCUCACCGGGUUAAUUAAUUUAAUAAUUUUUUUUAGUUCAUGGUACCCUGGUUUUAUUUACAUCUCUAAUAGACCAGGGGAACCGUGACA
RNAcentral lists this unclassified non-coding RNA (554 nucleotides) under Melitaea cinxia (Glanville fritillary). RNAcentral describes it as "misc RNA ENSMCXG00005016117.1". The record is from RNAcentral. Lineage: Eukaryota; Metazoa; Arthropoda; Insecta; Lepidoptera; Nymphalidae.